This 250-nucleotide ribosomal RNA is filed under the name uncultured bacterium. RNAcentral's name for it is "partial 16S ribosomal RNA". It matches the Rfam family "Bacterial small subunit ribosomal RNA", at positions 524 to 773 of the family's 1533-position model. The record is from RNAcentral.
UACGUAGGGUGCAAGCGUUGUCCGGAAUUAUUGGGCGUAAAGAGCUCGUAGGCGGUUCGUCGCGUCGGCUGUGAAAACCCGGAGCUCAACUCCGGGCCUGCAGUCGAUACGGGCGGACUUGAGUGUUGCAGGGGAGACUGGAAUUCCUGGUGUAGCGGUGAAAUGCGCAGAUAUCAGGAGGAACACCGGUGGCGAAGGCGGGUCUCUGGGCAACUACUGACGCUGAGGAGCGAAAGCGUGGGGAGCGAAC